UACGUAGGGGGCAAGCGUUAUCCGGAUUUACUGGGUGUAAAGGGAGCGUAGACGGCGAUGCAAGCCAGAUGUGAAAGCCCGGGGCUCAACCCCGGGACUGCAUUUGGAACUGUGUGGCUGGAGUGUCGGAGAGGCAGGCGGAAUUCCUAGUGUAGCGGUGAAAUGCGUAGAUAUUAGGAGGAACACCAGUGGCGAAGGCGGCCUGCUGGACGAUGACUGACGUUGAGGCUCGAAAGCGUGGGGAGCAAAUAGG
RNAcentral lists this ribosomal RNA (253 nucleotides) under uncultured bacterium. RNAcentral describes it as "partial 16S ribosomal RNA". It matches the Rfam family "Bacterial small subunit ribosomal RNA", at positions 524 to 776 of the family's 1533-position model. The record is from RNAcentral.